Molecule: ribosomal RNA, 837 nt
Filed under: Triticum aestivum (bread wheat)
Lineage: Eukaryota; Viridiplantae; Streptophyta; Magnoliopsida; Poales; Poaceae
Description: partial small subunit ribosomal RNA
Source: RNAcentral
AUGGCGAUGGCGAUGGAGACGGCGACGGGUUUCUCUGGCGACGGCGACGGCGACGGGUUGAGGGCUACGGGGACGCCGCGGCGAGGAGGGGCAGGUGCUGCGGAGACGGCGCGGCGAGGUGGGGCAGUGGCGGUUGUGCGGCGAGGCGGGGCAGGUGCUGCGGAGACGUCGCGCGGCGAGGCGGGGCAGUGGCGUCGCGGGCGAGGAUGGAGGACGCCGGAGCAGAGGACGACAGCUCCCGCCGUCGCUUCUGUCCGCGCACGCCCGCGUGCUCGCCUCCGUCCGCGCCUGCGCCGGAGCGCUGCUUUCUGCGCGCGCCCGCGUGCUCGCCUCCGUCCGCGCCCUUCAGCUCGCCUCUGCCCGCCACGCCCUUCAGCUCGCCUCCGUCCGCGUCCUGCCGCGUCCCAACCGCGCCGGGAGACCGCCUCUGCCUGCCGCGCUUGCCUUUGCUCAUGCCCUGCCGGACGGAAAGAGAAGGGAGAGGUGAGGUGCGGCGGUGUCCUGCUGCUGCUCGCUGGUGGCAUUCCGGCCAUAGGCGCGAGGUGGGGGCUCUGUCCGGCGGUUUCCCAGGACAUCUACUACCGGAAGGCCAAGGAGGAGGGGUGGAGGGCUCGCAACGCCUUCAAGCUCAUGCAGAUCGACCAGGAGUUCAACAUCUUCCACGGAGUGAAGCGUGCCGUUGACCUGUGCGCUGCUCCUGGGAGCUGGAGCCAGGUAUUCACAUGCUCGGUUCCCCCCAUCCAUGCUUGCAUCCCUUUGAUCAAUUGCUUAUCUCAAUCGCAAUUGCAGAUUUUGAGCCGCAAUUUCUUUGUAUCUACCGGCAAAGCUAUCAUCUAA